Molecule: long non-coding RNA, 1148 nt
Filed under: Fragaria vesca (wild strawberry)
Lineage: Eukaryota; Viridiplantae; Streptophyta; Magnoliopsida; Rosales; Rosaceae
Description: long non-coding RNA (FVES_LNC004044)
Source: RNAcentral
AUAAUUACAUAUUCAUAUUCACCGAAAAUCCCAUUUUCGGUAACUCUCUAAAGAGAAAUAAAAGCGUCAAAAUUAAUUGACGUCAAAAACUCCAACAAAAGGAAAUGUUCAAUCAUGAACCAUAGCAUGCAUAUUAUUUCAAAUAAAAGUCCACUCACAAAUUAGGCCUAAGCCUGAUGUCGAUCUGGGGUCUCGUCUGCUCGAGCCUCCUCACGUCCUGUUCCAAAUAUAAUAUUAAUUCCCAACCAAAAAAAAUCCAAUAUUUAAUCAAAAUAGGCAAAAUUACCCGAGAGCCAUAAUUACGCUCAUCAUUGCCUAACUUCGAUAUUCUUACAUCGGAACGAUCCGAACUUAAAUAUCAUACUCAACAGUCGUAAAUACAACCUCUCCAAAAUACGACUUAAAUCCUACGGCCGGAUUCUAAAUUAAUUACCCGCUAAAAAUACCACACUUCGGAAAUUCACAAACCUAUCCAAAUCUCAUCCAAAAAUUCCAAAAUUCAUCUCAAUAUACUCCUCUUAAUAUUCCACAUUUAAAACCCUAAAAAUCUCCUAACCGGCGGCGGCGCCGCCGGCGGCUCCGCCGGCAGCGGCGGCCGGCAGCCGUUUUCCGGCGACCUGCAAAUGCUACCAAAUUUUAACAGAAUCUUCCUCUUAAUCUCCUCUACAACUUUCAUAACAAGCUCAAACACCAAUUCCAAGCCUAACUAGGGCAAUCGACUAAAAACAUCCAUAAAUCCCUAAAACUUUCAAUUAUACAAACCACCCUAACGAGAUCGAAUUUAGCCGAAACCUUUUGAGGGAUUACUCACCUAGAUGAGGGCUACAAGUUGAGCCAAAAAUCACGACCUAUGGUGGCCGGAAGACGGAGCUCCGGCGAAAAAUCCAUUCCGGCAGUCGAACCUUUCGGGGUUGACCGCUCCUUCACGGCGGGGUUAGGGGAGCUGUCACCGGUCCAAGAAGGUUGCUGGGUUGAAGACCGAUCGAUUGGGACCGGUGCGGCGGUCUGGGGCGGCCGGACGGCGGCGGACGGCGGUGGAGAAAUUUCCGGGUGGAGAGAGGAGAAAACCGGGUGGGAGGAGAGAAAAUCGGGAGAGAGGGAGAAGAGAAAAAGGGUUUUGGGCCUCACCCCAAACCGGUCCACAACAC